RNAcentral lists this ribosomal RNA (688 nucleotides) under uncultured bacterium. Its description in RNAcentral is "bacterial SSU rRNA". It matches the Rfam family "Bacterial small subunit ribosomal RNA", at positions 140 to 826 of the family's 1533-position model. The record is from RNAcentral.
GGGACAACCCGCCGAAAGGCGGGCUAAACCCGCGUACAUGCCACCGGGGCAUCCCGGAGGCAGGAAAGGCUUCGGCCGGACAGGGAUGGGCAUGCGGCGCAUUAGGCAGUAGGCGGGGUAACGGCCCACCUAACCGACGAUGCGUAGGGGUUCUGAGAGGAAGGUCCCCCACACUGGUACUGAGACACGGACCAGACUCCUACGGGAGGCAGCAGUGAGGAAUAUUGGUCAAUGGUCGGGAGACUGAACCAGCCAAGCCGCGUGAGGGAGGAAGGUACAGAGUAUCGUAAACCUCUUUUGUCAGGGAACAAAGACUGGGACGCGUCCCCGGAUGAGUGUACCUGAAGAAAAAGCAUCGGCUAACUCCGUGCCAGCAGCCGCGGUAAUACGGAGGAUGCGAGCGUUAUCCGGAUUUAUUGGGUUUAAAGGGUGCGCAGGCGGUCUGUUAAGUCAGCGGUCAAAGCCCGGGGCUCAACCCCGGCCCGCCGUUGAAGCUGGCAGUCUCGAGUUGGAGAGAAGUAUGCGGAAUGCGCGGUGUAGCGGUGAAAUGCAUAGAUAUCGCGCAGAACUCCGAUUGCGAAGGCAGCAUGCCGGCUCCACACUGACGCUGAGGCACGAAAGCGUGGGUAUCGAACAGGAUUAGAUACCCUGGUAGUCCACGCAGUAAACGAUGAAUGAUGGCUGUCCG